Unclassified non-coding RNA from Callithrix jacchus (white-tufted-ear marmoset), 297 nucleotides. It matches the Rfam family "Metazoan signal recognition particle RNA". From Rfam's summary of the family: The signal recognition particle (SRP) is a universally conserved ribonucleoprotein. It is involved in the co-translational targeting of proteins to membranes. The record is from Ensembl. NCBI's taxonomy places the organism in Eukaryota, Metazoa, Chordata, Mammalia, Primates, Cebidae.
GCAGGGCGCAGUGGUGCGUGCCUGUAGUCCCAGCUACUCCCGAGGCUGAAGUGGGAGAAUCGCUUGAGCCCAGGAGGUUUGGGCUGUAGUGGGCUUUGUUGAUCGGGUGUCCGCACUAAGUUCGGCAUCAAUAUGGUGACCUCCCAGGAGCAGGGGACCACCAGGUUGCCUAAGGAGGGGUGAACAGCCCAGGUUGGAAACGGAGCAGGUCAAAACUCCCUUGCUGAUCAGUAAUGGGAUUGCACCUGUGAAUAGCCACUGCACUCCAGCCUGGUCAACAUAGAGACCCCGUCUCUA